This 279-nucleotide ribosomal RNA is filed under the name Triticum aestivum (bread wheat). RNAcentral's name for it is "partial small subunit ribosomal RNA". Lineage: Eukaryota; Viridiplantae; Streptophyta; Magnoliopsida; Poales; Poaceae. The record is from RNAcentral.
AUGUGGACCGAUGAGCUCAAAGUUUCUGUGCAUGCUGCUGCUUUUCACUAUAUUUUAGCAAAUGUAGUUCAUACAUCUUUAGGGGUCAACUUUUGUCUUAUUUGUAUAUAUGGCGACCCGUAUCACAGGCAGACUAAUGCCAUCAGCUGGGACCAAGUUCCUAAUUUUGUCUAUGAUAACAUAGGAAAGCCCAUGGUUUGUAUGGGGGACCUUAAUGAUAUCCUUUAUGAUGUGGAUGCGUGUGAUGGUAAUAUCAACUUAUAUCGUAUGAAUGCUUUC